UACGAAGGGGGCUAGCGUUGCUCGGAAUGACUGGGCGUAAAGGGCGCGUAGGCGGCACGGACAGUCAGGCGUGAAAUUCCUGGGCUUAACCUGGGGGCUGCGUUUGAUACGUCCGAGCUAGAGGAUGGAAGAGGCGAGUGGAAUUCCCGGUGUAGCGGUGAAAUGCGCAGAUAUCGGGAGGAACACCUAUGGCGAAGGCAGCUCGCUGGGACGUUACUGACGCUGAGACGCGAAAGCGUGGGGAGCAAACAGG
Molecule: ribosomal RNA, 253 nt
Filed under: uncultured bacterium
Lineage: Bacteria
Description: partial 16S ribosomal RNA
Rfam family: Bacterial small subunit ribosomal RNA
Source: RNAcentral